CCGGACAGGCACACGGACAGGGAUAGGGACACGGGCCGGGACAGGCACACGGACAGGGAAGCCCUCGGUGUGUAGCACUGCCCCUGCCGCUCCAGUCGGAGCGUUUUCUACUCGCUGUGCAAAACUCUGCUUUGGAAUUGUGCUGUAAACGCGCUGCUUUCAGCCAGCGGGAACGGGAGGUUUAUCAUGGCACUAUGAUAGCGAUGACCCUUACCUUUGCAAGCCGUGUCUUUCACUUUUUAAGGGAUUUAAAUAAGUCCUCUUUCUGAGAGAGAACGUCUUCUCUUUGCCUUGUGUGGCUUCCAGCACAUGUGGAUCCAGCGCAUCACUAAUCUAUGGUCUUUCCUCAUCACUGCCUCUGUCACGUCCCCAUCCUCAUUUCCAUCUCCGUUGGUUCGUAAGCAGAAUAUUGCACAGUGAGAAAAGCAAACAUAUAAAUGCUUCUUCCACUGGGCUUCACAAGCCUGGCAGGGAACAGGGAUUACUCUUGUAGAGGAACAGAUUCCAUACUACACACUAAGAACAGAAAGUGAAGGGAAGGAUGGUGUAAUAUUAAUUUUUGAUUUCCCAAAUGAAGGGUUUGCUAGUGGGUUAAACAAUAGCACCCCAGUGGGAGAAAGCAUGGGGUAGUGGUUAGAGGUCGGGGUUCAAGAGCUGGGAAACCACAAUCACAUUCUCUUGACUGUGCUUCAGUCUCUAGAUGAAUCAAGGUAGGUCAGUUUUGUCACCAGUGCCAGGAAAGUAAUGGCACUCUGCGUAACACAUAACAUGCUGCAGUACUAAGUGCGGGCAUUUAUUAACAUUAGCAGUAAGCAUGGAGGUUGUGAAAGGAUAAACAGAAAGAAGAUACUGUGAAAAAAACAACACUGUGUUACAAUCUGAGGAAGUAUGCCUAAAGGAAAUGGGGAUUGUUCACAGGAUAUACUUGUCCUUGCAUCAUUGACCUCUUAUAAUCUGCCUGCUUGUCCUGCUCCCAAACCAAUAAGGCUAACUUUUUCUAAGAGCUGAAACAGCUGAACUGCCUUUUCAGUUUGGAUUGCUGAUACUUGAGACUCUUCAGAUGGGACUGCAAAUUGGAGGCAGAGGAAGUUACCUGCCACAGCAAGUAGUUGAUGACACCUGUCACUGGGAACCCUGCUGCCAGGAGAGCAGUUUCUGCACAUCUGUGGGGCCUCAGGGCACCUUGGUGACUUGUAGCAGUUUAGCCUUUAGAGUGAAAUAUCAAAGGCCAGCUCUGGAGCUGCAGUGAUGCCAAGUAUCAACAGACCAGCUGUAGGCUCAUUUCAUCAGUUUAAUGUUCUGUACUCAUUACAAAGUCUCACUGUACCCCAGCCCAUUGCAGUCUGCAAUGUUGCUGUGACACAACCUAUAAACUCUGCCUACCCAUUCUCAGUCUGCCACAUUGUCUUACUUCCCUUGCGCUCUUCCACAGCCUAAAUCCCACUUGAGCACUGUCCUCUGCACUGCCCGCCUUUAACCACUGGGUGCCAGGGGCCUCCCAGCAGGAAGCCACUCACACACUGGCUCGUUCUCCUGCAUCAGGAGGAGAAGCACCAGCCUUGAACCGCUUCACCCAGCUGUGCAUGUGCUCAGUUUACAUUUGUGGUGAGGGCAGGUGUGUGAAACAGCCAGUGGCAGAUCAAGGCAGCCCCGGGCACCUAGGGACUUCAAGAAAUUGCAUUGUCUCUGCUCCUGCAGCUCAGGCUGCCUGCAGAGAGGGAGGUGAGGAGAGCUGUAAGGUCGUGGCUGUGACCCAAAACCGCAACAAGAACCCCAUCAGUUCAUUUCGUAUAAGAAUAGCUCACAGAGAGAGAACAGCCACCAUUAGUUUAAGUUACAUCUCAGUAAGGCAAAAGGAUUCAUAUCCCAUUAUCAAGGAAAUACUGGAGUCAUUCAGGCCCCUUUUGUUGCGAUUGCUGCCUUUUAUUGGUUUGAAAUGACAUUUUUGGAGGACUUAUUUCUGCCUUACUAGCUAUGACUGUCUUUUCAUUCUGUGUUAAUAUGCUGGCUAGCUCAAAGAAAUCCAGAUUAAGGUGCUAAGAAAUAGCAAUAAAAUCAUACAGCCACAGGUUAUUUCAACAGUGCCUUGAUCACACAUAUAAUUGCAACAGAAAACAGUUUCAACAGCAGUUUUCAACAAAAAGCAGUUUCUUUAUUUUGUAUGGCUUAAAACUUACAAAAGAGGAGGUAUAACACAAACACUCAGAAGAGCCUCUAUUAAUGCCUCAAAACAGAAGAGCAGAAUUGUAAAAACUAACAAACUGGAAUAUAAAUUAUUUCUCUUUCUCUACAGAGGUAGAGCUUUAGCUCUACCUCUCCACAACCACGUGCUUAAAUUACCAAGCCAUCAUAAGGGUAAAUGUCAGGAUAAAUACUUUGAAAAUGUCCUUCCCUGUAUUACUAACAUCACUAUGGACUAUUAAAAUUAAAAGGCUCUUUAAAAUGUAAUUGACUUUUUCAUUAUUUAUCUGCUGCUGCCACUGUUCACUUCCAUAUGUGUAAGUAGUAAAUCCCCAGAGGGGUGUUUCAUAUCUGUAUAAAUGUAUAUUAAAUGCUUUGCCUCUGGCAUUUUAGAAAUAGCACAAAUGCAGCUGUGUUUGUGCACUAUA
Passer domesticus (house sparrow) is the source of this 2609-nucleotide long non-coding RNA. RefSeq lists it as uncharacterized. The record is from RefSeq and is a predicted model, not a curated record. Lineage: Eukaryota; Metazoa; Chordata; Aves; Passeriformes; Passeridae. The transcript has 3 exons.